UUGCCUGUUUUACUGCCUACCCCACCUAUGGGAGGGGCCCUGUGGCCGUCCCCAGUCAAGGCAAUCCCAGUGUUCAAGGACUUAAAUAUUCAGAGAAGUUUUAGAUUUACAACCAAAGCAAGAGGAAGGUCCAGAGAUCUGUUAGAGCUUCCUGGCUGCCAUCAUUUUCCAUUCUGCCCUUUCCUCAUCGUUCAGAGUUAGAUAACACACAGAAAUUUUAAUGGCCUUAAUGAUCACUAAUAUGUUUUCCUCUGGGCUUCUGAAAGAGAAGGAAACUGAUGCUCUUUUGGAAGACCAUUAAUGCCCUGGUCACACGUGAAAAUUACUCCUCAUCCAUUUCAUCGCUGAAGCUGCUCUUCGAGAAGCCUGUCGCUUUGUUCAUUUUGGUCUGGGAGCCUCCAGGGCAGCCAGAGAGAUGUGGUUCUUCAGAAGAAACUGUUCUUUUCAUAAAGGCUUGUCAUUGUUUUUCUUCUCAUUAUAGAUGCAUGUUCAUGGGGUAGGAGUGGGGACAGAAAAUGAAAUAAAAUUACAGAGUUGGUUAAUGUUAGUUUAUCUGAAUAUUUUUGUUGCAUAUACCUAUUUACAUCUGCUACAGACAGAUGCAUACACAUGACUAUUGUGCAUAUAUUCUUAAAAAUCCAGAUCAAACCAUGGAUCUAACUUUUUUCCCAUCUAUUUUUAUGCAGUAAGGAUGUUCUGUUUCAAAAACCUUACUUUUUUUUAAUGGCUGCAUACUUUCGAGUUUAUUGCUAAACCAUACCUAAAUGUCUAACACUGAAAGAAUAUUUAA
Long non-coding RNA from Mustela lutreola (European mink), 790 nucleotides. RefSeq lists it as uncharacterized. Lineage: Eukaryota; Metazoa; Chordata; Mammalia; Carnivora; Mustelidae. The record is from RefSeq and is a predicted model, not a curated record. The transcript has 3 exons.